This 198-nucleotide ribosomal RNA is filed under the name uncultured bacterium. Its description in RNAcentral is "partial 16S ribosomal RNA". It matches the Rfam family "Bacterial small subunit ribosomal RNA", at positions 328 to 539 of the family's 1533-position model. The record is from RNAcentral.
ACGCUCGACACCUACGGGGGCAGCAGUGGGGAAUAUUGCACAAUGGGGGAAACCCGUGAUGCAGCGACGCCGCGUGAGCGAAGAAGUAUUUCGGUAUGUAAAGCUCUAUCAGCAGGGAAGAAAGUGACGGUACCUGACUAAGAAGCCCCGGCUAACUACGUGCUAGCAGCCGCGGUAAUCUGAGCGGGCUGGCAAGGC